CNUGGGAACUGCGUUCUGAACUGGGUGACUAGAGUGUGUCAGAGGGAGGUAGAAUUCCACGUGUAGCAGUGAAAUGCGUAGAGAUGUGGAGGAAUACCGAUGGCGAAGGCAGCCUCCUGGGAUAACACUGACGUUCAUGCCCGAAAGCGUGGGUAGCAAACAGGAUUAGAUACCCUGGUAGUNCACGCCCUAAACGAUGUCGAUUAGCUGUUGGGCAGCAUGACUGCUUAGUAGCGAAGCUAACGCGUGAAAUCGACCGCCUGGGGAGUACGGUCGCAAGAUUAAAACUCAAAGGAAUUGACGGGGACCCGCACAAGCGGUGGAUGAUGUGGAUUAAUUCGAUGCAACGCGAAGAACCUUACCUGGUCUUGACAUGUACGGAACCCUCCAGAGACGGAGGGGUGCCUUCGGGAGCCGUAACACAGGUGCUGCGUGGCUGUCGUCAGCUCGUGUCGUGAGAUGUUGGGUUAAGUCCCGCGACGAGCGCAACCCUUGUCAUUAGUUGCCAUCAUUAAGUUGGGCACUCUAAUGAGACUGCCGGUGACAAGCCGGAGGAAGGUAGGGAUGACGUCAAGUCCUCAUGGCCCUUAUGACCAGGGCUUCACACGUCAUACAAUGGUCGGUACAGAGGGUAGCCAAGCCGCGAGGUGGAGCCAAUCUCACAAAACCGAUCGUAGUCCGGAUUGCACUCUGCAACUCGAGUGCAUGAAGUCGGAAUCGCUAGUAAUCGCAGGUCAGCAUACUGCGGUGAAUACGUUCCCGGGUCUUGUACAC
This 774-nucleotide ribosomal RNA is filed under the name uncultured bacterium. RNAcentral describes it as "bacterial SSU rRNA". It matches the Rfam family "Bacterial small subunit ribosomal RNA", at positions 613 to 1388 of the family's 1533-position model. The record is from RNAcentral.